AAUUCUCAACCAUGUCUUGAUUGACUUCGAGGCAUGGCUUGGAUGGUGGGGGUUGCUGGCUGCGAAAGCGGUCGGCUCUCCUGAAAUGCAUUAGUGAUGGACAGCAAGUCUGACGUGCACGGCCUCGACGUGAUAAUGAUCGUCGUCGCUGGAGCGUCGGACGAGCACGAGAACGUCCCUUUGCUUCCAACACCUUUGACUUGGGACUUGAACUUUCGAGCAAAGCUUCAGCUACUAGUCGGUCGUGAGGCCGACGAACGCAAGGCCGGACUUGGAGGUCGUGCAGGUCUCUCGUCUUUCUUGACG
This 306-nucleotide unclassified non-coding RNA is filed under the name uncultured Xerocomellus. RNAcentral's name for it is "sequence contains ITS2". The record is from RNAcentral. Lineage: Eukaryota; Fungi; Basidiomycota; Agaricomycetes; Boletales; Boletaceae.